AUUGAACGCUGGCGGCAUGCCUUACACAUGCAAGUCGAACGGCAGCACGGGAGCAAUCCUGGUGGCGAGUGGCGAACGGGUGAGUAAUAUAUCGGAACGUGCCCAGUCGUGGGGGAUAACGCAGCGAAAGCUGUGCUAAUACCGCAUACGAUCUCUGGAUGAAAGCGGGGGACCGUAAGGCCUCGCGCGAUUGGAGCGGCCGAUAUCAGAUUAGCUAGUUGGUGGGGUAAAGGCCCACCAAGGCGACGAUCUGUAGCUGGUCUGAGAGGAGGACCAGCCACACUGGAACUGAGACACGGUCCAGACUCCUACGGGAGGCAGCAGUGGGGCAUUUUGGACAAUGGGCGCAAGCCUGAUCCAGCAAUGCCGCGUGCAGGAUGAAGGCCUUCGGGUUGUAAACUGCUUUUGUACGGAACGAAACGGCGAGCUCUAAUAAAGUUUGCUAAUGACGGUACCGUAAGAAUAAGCACCGGCUAACUACGUGCCAGCCGCCGCGGUAA
RNAcentral lists this ribosomal RNA (500 nucleotides) under uncultured bacterium. RNAcentral describes it as "partial 16S ribosomal RNA". It matches the Rfam family "Bacterial small subunit ribosomal RNA", at positions 30 to 523 of the family's 1533-position model. The record is from RNAcentral.